RNAcentral lists this long non-coding RNA (558 nucleotides) under Zalophus californianus (California sea lion). RNAcentral describes it as "lncRNA (ENSZCAG00015022463.1)". Lineage: Eukaryota; Metazoa; Chordata; Mammalia; Carnivora; Otariidae. The record is from RNAcentral.
GAGCCAGCUAGGUGCCCCUGCCUCCUUCUAUCUUUGCCAGUCCCUCCCAUGGGGCUUUCCUUGAGUGUUUGACCAGCUCCCUUAGCCGCAGCUUCCCCGCCAGCUCCCAGGUGGCUCCUAGGCUCCGCCCUUCUGCAGGCCCCGCCCACACCACACCUGCUGGCCAAUCCUGGGCUCCGCUCUGCGCGCAUCACAAUAGCGCCCUUGGGACCGCCUCCUGCAGUCCUGCCAGGGCCGAGUAUUGCCAUGGGGACCACAAACAGCCUGGGCCAGUAGGAGAGAGGAGGACUUUCCCCAGAGGAAGCGGCCUCACCUGGGGAGACACUCACACGUACCCAAGGAGCAGGGCUGAAGCAGAGGAUGAUCCUGGAGAAGUGCGAGCUACAGACUUCUCCCCAGAGCCCAGGCCUGUCUCUGUCUAUUCAUGGAGUUUGUAAGUCAGCGUGAAGGCUCAUUGACUGAGGAUGUGUGACUUUGUUCCCCCUGGACGCUGAGGGCAAUGCAGUACCAAUGCACAAUGCAACGACAUACAAGUCUCUAUGGAUUCUUGAAACACAG